UCCGGAACUCGGGGCCGGGGUUGUGGCGCCGGCGCCCGCGUCCUCCUCUGAGCGCCAUUUUUGUCGCUGGUGGGGGUAGUGGGGGAGGGGUGGAGUUGUUCCCUCAGCUGUGAGCAGGGAUGUGGGAAUGGGUUUCACUGUUCAUGAAUCGAAAGGAACUGGAUGCACAUUCAGUAUUUCCAGCUUUUAUUGGCAGCUCUCUUCAGGCAGUGGAUUGUGUGGUGUUUGUUGAUGCUGAGUAGAAGUGUAAAGAUCAGAGUAGCACAGCAGCACUCCAGCAGUGAGAUUUUGAGCCAAGCCAACAUCUUUCAUAUCACUAAAGACCAGACCAGAUGGUGUUGCCCUGCUGGUUGGGAGAGUGGUGACUUGGUGCUACAUUGCUGUUAGUGGACUUUGACCUCCCAGGCGUACAAGUUUUGUGUUACUCGGACAUCUGAUCUGCAGCCAUUUUGGAAUAUAACGUUUAUAGAGGAAUUUUUUUUAUUUAAAGGAAAGUCAGAGAGCAAACAAGAAUUGACAACAUUGCAAUUCAGAGGUGUUCAGAUGUGUUCUGCAAAGCAAUUGUUCCAAAAAAUGAUAGAAAAUAAACUGGAUAUUUUUGUUACCUGCAAUAUAUUUUCAGUAGGAAAGUAUUGAUAAGUACAUACUAGUUAAAGUCAAAUAAAAAUUCUGAACUGGACAGUUCUCUUCAGGA
This is a long non-coding RNA of Numida meleagris (helmeted guineafowl), 694 nucleotides long. RefSeq lists it as uncharacterized. The record is from RefSeq and is a predicted model, not a curated record. The transcript has 5 exons. Lineage: Eukaryota; Metazoa; Chordata; Aves; Galliformes; Numididae.